RNAcentral lists this ribosomal RNA (446 nucleotides) under uncultured bacterium. RNAcentral describes it as "bacterial SSU rRNA". It matches the Rfam family "Bacterial small subunit ribosomal RNA", at positions 329 to 792 of the family's 1533-position model. The record is from RNAcentral.
AUCCAGACUCCUACGGGAGGCAGCAGUGGGGAAUAUUGCACAAUGGGGGAAACCCUGAUGCAGCGACGCCGCGUGAGUGAAGAAGUAAUUCGUUAUGUAAAGCUCUAUCAGCAGGGAAGAAAAUGACGGUACCUGAGUAAGAAGCCCCGGCUAACUACGUGCCAGCAGCCGCGGUAAUACGUAGGGGGCAAGCGUUAUCCGGAUUUACUGGGUGUAAAGGGAGCGUAGACGGCAGUGCAAGUCUGAUGUGAAAGCCCGGGGCUCAACCGCGGGACUGCAUUGGAAACUGCGGGACUGGAGUGUCGGAGGGGUAAGCGGAAUUCCUGGUGUAGCGGUGAAAUGCGUAGAUAUCAGGAGGAACACCGGUGGCGAAGGCGGCUUACUGGACGAUGACUGACGCUGAGGCUCGAAAGCGUGGGGAGCAAACAGGAUUAGAUACCCUCGUA